UACGAGGGGGGCAAGUGUUGUUCGGAAUCACUGGGUUUAAAGGGUGCGUAGGCGGGUAAGUAAGUCCGUGGUGAAAUCUCUGAGCUUAACUCAGAAACUGCCGUGGAUACUAUUUGCCUUGAAUAUUGUGGAGGUGAGCGGAAUAUGUCAUGUAGCGGUGAAAUGCUUAGAUAUGACAUAGAACACCAAUUGCGAAGGCAGCUCACUACACAAUCAUUGACGCUGAGGCACGAAAGCGUGGGGAUCAAACAGG
This 253-nucleotide ribosomal RNA is filed under the name uncultured bacterium. RNAcentral describes it as "partial 16S ribosomal RNA". It matches the Rfam family "Bacterial small subunit ribosomal RNA", at positions 524 to 776 of the family's 1533-position model. The record is from RNAcentral.